RNAcentral lists this ribosomal RNA (647 nucleotides) under Sarcocystis tenella. RNAcentral's name for it is "SSU rRNA". It matches the Rfam family "Eukaryotic small subunit ribosomal RNA", at positions 455 to 1077 of the family's 1831-position model. The record is from RNAcentral. Lineage: Eukaryota; Apicomplexa; Conoidasida; Eucoccidiorida; Sarcocystidae.
CUCAGGGAGGUAGCGACAAGAAAUAACAACACUGGAAAUUUUAUUUCUAGUGAUUGGAAUGAUGGGAAUUUAAACCCCUUUCAGAGUAACAAUUGGAGGGCAAGUCUGGUGCCAGCAGCCGCGGUAAUUCCAGCUCCAAUAGCGUAUAUUAAAGUUGUUGCAGUUAAAAAGCUCAUAGUUGGAUGUCUGCUGGAAGCAAUCAGUCCGCCCUAUUUGUAGGGUGUGCACUUGAUGAAUUCUGGCAUUUUUGUCCCAAUGAUGUAACGGGGCGGUGGUACUCGGUGAAAGCCGAGUAUCCUGUUUUCCGAUUGUUGGGAUACUGCUACUUUGAGAAAAUUAGAGUGUUUGAAGCAGGCUAAUUGCCUUGAAUACUGCAGCAUGGAAUAACAAUAUAGGAUUUCGGUUCUAUUUUGUUGGUUUCUAGGACUGAAAUAAUGAUUAAUGGGGACAGUUGGGGGCAUUCGUAUUCAACUGUCAGAGGUGAAAUUCUUAGAUUUGUUAAAGACGAACUACUGCGAAAGCAUUUGCCAAAGAUGUUUUCAUUAAUCAAGAACGAAAGUUAGGGGCUCGAAGACGAUCAGAUACCGUCGUAGUCUUAACCAUAAACUAUGCCGACUAGAGAUAGGAAAAUGUCAUUUUGCUGACUU